Molecule: ribosomal RNA, 506 nt
Filed under: uncultured Glomus
Lineage: Eukaryota; Fungi; Glomeromycota; Glomeromycetes; Glomerales; Glomeraceae
Description: SSU rRNA
Rfam family: Eukaryotic small subunit ribosomal RNA
Source: RNAcentral
AGCAGCCGCGGUAAUUCCAGCUCCAAUAGCGUAUAUUAAAGUUGCUGCAGUUAAAAAGCUCGUAGUUGAAUUUCGGGAUCAAUAUGUUGGUCGUGCCUUGGUACGUACUAGCUUAUUGGUUUCUCCCUUCUGACGAACCAUGAUGUCAUUAAUUUGGUGUCAUGUGGAAUCAGGACUGUUACUUUGAAAAAAUUAGAGUGUUUAAAGCAGGCUCACGCUUGAAUACAUUAGCAUGGAAUAAUGAAAUAGGACGUUUGAUUCUAUUUUGUUGGUUUCUAGGAUCGACGUAAUGAUUAAUAGGGAUAGUUGGGGGCAUUAGUAUUCAAUUGUCAGAGGUGAAAUUCUUGGAUUUAUUGAAGACUAACUACUGCGAAAGCAUUUGCCAAGGAUGUUUUCAUUAAUCAAGAACGAAAGUUAGGGGAUCGAAGACGAUCAGAUACCGUCGUAGUCUUAACCAUAAACUAUGCCGACUAGGGAUCGGAUGAUGUUAAUUUUUAAUGUACUCU